AAUCUCUUACCUGCUAAGGGCUGAAGCAACCCAGCGGAUCGUGCGUGCACCUUGAAGAGGAAGCCACAGCCUGAGAUGACGAUCUGAAACCUGGAAAGGAUCUGGUUAGGUGUCCUUUGCAGGCAGAAGUUCGUGGUUAAGGGUCUUCUCGGUCAUCUGUUUUUAGAAUGAAAAUUUUCAGCUAGUGUUUGUUGAGUAUCUGGUGUGUGCUGGGCAUUGUUCAUGGUGUUGGGGUAUCAGUGGACCAGACGGAGAAGAGUUGCUGCCUUCUUGAAGCUUACAUUCUAAUAAGACACACAGUAAAUCAAAAUGUAACAGGAGAGGAAGACAAUUAUCCUGAAGACAUACACGUGCACGGAACCCCGCGUAUCCGCGGAUGGAAGCUCGAAGCAGAGCACGUGGAGAAGAUAAAGAUGCAGUGGGGACAAGUCCACACACGAGCCAUCUGGCCCUUUGGAGGAGACGGCACCGUGUCCCUGGUGCCUGGGAACAAGGACGGGCUGUUCUGGGGCCGGAUGCCAGGCCAGCACGCACGGGCCCCGGCUGGCUGACACUGGCUGGCUACCUCGCUCUGCUAAAGGUCGAGCAGCAGACCUUUUCCAGAAGGGAGAAGAAACUGUAGAAGAUCCAGUACCGUACCCCACAUCUGAUUCAUCAUAACCUGUUGCCCACACAGCAGCGAGAGCUCUCCAUGGAGUGACGGGCAAACAUGUCAUUCUUCUAUUAGUCGUUUAUUCUGUCUGCCGAACACCUACCAAUACUCUGUACAUUUCCUUCCAAACCCAAAGAAGCAUAAAGAAACUCUACUGGAUAUUUGUCCCUUCCCUCUCUGUUCUCUUUCUGGACACCUUUCUCUCACUCCUGUGUCGAGACAUGUUUUCUGGGUGCCAGGCUCUGGUUGUGACCUGACGCGUCAGAUGUCGUCACGGCCCCUGAGCUCACCCUGGCAGAACUGUGCUUUCUAGCCUCUUUCAGGCCCAGUGGGGCACACUGGGAAAGGUCAUUGUGCACACACUGGGGAGUGGGGGGAGGUGGCAGGUGGGGAAGCCAUAAUCUAGGCUUCCUGGAACUGAGAGGGUCAGUGCGUCUCAACACGCCGGUGUGUGCAUGUGAGUGUGUGUGUCUGUGUAAAACAUGACCUAGCAGUCCUGCUGGAGAGAGGGAUUCCCACUGCUGUCUAACAACCAUCUGCUUGUUUGCCUUGUGGAAUUUCGCAGGGUCCCAUUAGCUGGCAGCUGGUGACCCUGGGUCCUCUGUGACUUGGGUUCACUCAAAAGUUUCUGGCCACAAAUUUGAGCGCUUUCUCCGUUAAGGUGCUGCAGGGGCUCCAGAAGUGAAGAGCUGAUCUUCACUUCGAGGGGGCUUGUGGCCCAGUUUGGGGGGUACAACACACCUGUAGCUACCCUAAGACAAGGCAAAAUAUGAGGACCACAAAGGAGGUACAGAAAGCUGGGUUCCGGGGCGAGAAUCUGGUCUAGCGGGGGAGCCGGGUGCCCCUGAUGGAAGAGGUGACCGAUUUGCACUUUGCCUUAAAGGAUGUAGGAUUCUGACCAGCAAGGGUGGGCUGAGUCUGGGGAUGGAUAUGAGUAAGAGGCAUUCAAGGGGGAGGGCACAGCCCAUCUGAAGGCAUGGGUCUGGGGUGAGCGGGCACUUCCGUUUUGAUGAGCCUGUAGGUUUGGUACAGGAAUAGAUGGGGAGGAGGCCGCAGAGCCGGGUGGAGGCAUAGGCUGGGUGUGGACUCGGAUUUCGGCUCCGGGGGCUGCCUUCACAGCCCGUACAUGAAUAGCUGGACAGGGUGGACGCCUGGGGUUGGUUUGAAUGGGACGCGGUUGACACAGUGUAGUACAAGGGAAUCGAGCACAGAAAGUCUCCCUCCACUCCUGGAUUGCUUGUUUGAGGUCCACAAAGGUAGCUUUCGAUUGAACGUGGCCUCUCUUGGCCCUUCCAGAGCCAGCAUACACCUAGUGCCUUGGGGCUCUUUAGAGCUGCGGGCACAAGCUAUUUUCAUGCUCCUUCAAAUGCCCGUGUUUAUUUUUAAACUCGAGCCUUUGUAAAGCAGGUAUGUAUCAUUCAGGCUUUGCUUUUGAGUAAAAAGGCUCUCUUGGGCCAAUGGAACCAACAAAAAGAUGUUCUUGAUUUAAAGUUGGACAUUCUUUUCAUUUAAUGCCUCCAUGCAUAUAUUCCGGUGUUAUAGGAAGGGCCACAGAAGUAAUUUGCUUUUAAAGAAAAUCCUGGAAAGAGGAAACCCUCAUGCAGUUGGCCACUUUCUUAACUUGUGCUGGCAGAUCUGUAUUGUGAACACUGGUGCUCAGACAAGAAAGAGGUCUGCGUGCGUCAGAGAUGGGGCGGGUGGGGACAAGCUGGUGGGGGUAGUCUGAACCCUGCCUCCCCCAGCCCCACCUCCCACCAAUAGGAGCCCGUGGACAAGGGGCUUAGCAGAGAAGGUCUGUUACCUUUUAAGCAUAUGCGAGUUAUAACUGAAAAUUAAUGAGAUUAAUUUAGAGUUCAAGACUGGAGGAUUCAGCACAUGUGCUCUUUAUACCUUUCCUCCCCAGAACUCAUUAAAAUGAUAAUAAAGAGAUUGUUAGGAGUAUAAUCCUACGGCAGCAAAGUGAAUGGGAGGGAAUUAGCAGCCCCUGAGAGAUUGCAACAAAUUUCUGGCUAAUAGAAAGCAGUGGAGGAAUGGCGAUGUCAGAAAUACAGCAGAGGAGACCAGAGGCCAAAGUCCAAGUGGAAGGGGGCCGUGGGGGUGGGAGGAGGGGGCCAGGCUGCCCUGGAGAACUCCAGAGAGCCUCUUAACCAAGCCCACAGGUCCAGCCCAGGGCCAGAAUGAGACGUGGUGCUGAAAGCUGGAACUUGAAUCGAAGGUCUUAGGGACUCCGUGUUUAUUAGGGAGAAUGAGGACAAGUGAACGUCACUGGCAGAGGCAAGGCAGGGAGUGUGGGCAUUGGCAUUCUAGAAUAAAGUCUUCCUUGGCCUGGUGUGGAUCCUGGAUAGGUGGGUGGUAUUUGAAGCCAUGGUACUAGGUAAGACCAGCGAAGGAGAGAUCUUGGAGUUCUCUGACUGACCCUGAGGAGUCAGGAAGAGGAAGAGCCAGCAGAAUAAACUUCUCAUCAGAUAAAGUGGAUGCAAGACAAAAGAGUAAAGCAAGGCCUUUAAGGUUCUGAGGGAAGAGCAUUUUUUAACCAUUGAAAAAAAAUUUUAUGUCUAAAAAAUGUCCCCCUUAGAUGUUAUGUCCUAAACUCCCGAGCCUGUCAAUUUACCUUAUUUGGUAAAAGUCUUUGCAGAUGUGAUUACGGUGAGGAUCUCGAGGUGGAGAGAUUAUCCCGAAUUAUGCUGGGAGACCUUAAAUGCGAUCACAACUGUCUUUAUGAGGGGGAGGCAGAGGGAGAUUUUACUACACAUGAACAGAAGAGAGAAGGGAUGUGAGGGCCUCAGCAGAUGGAGAGAUUUGAAGAUGCUAAGCUGCAGGCUUCAAAGAUGGAGGAAGAGGCCAAGGAAUGCGGCUCUGGAAGCUGGAAAAGCCAGGAAACGGGUUCUUCCCUAGAGCCUGCAGAGGAGCGGGGCCCUCCUGACACUUUGGUUUCAGCCCAGUGAAAGUGAUUUCAGAGGUGAGAGAACGAGUUCCUGUUGUUUUAAGCCACUGAGUUUGGGGUCAUUUGUUACAGUAGCCCAGGACACUGAUCCAUAUAGCCAAACCAGUCAAGUGUAGGGGGAGAGUAAGGGGAAUUAUAGAUACAAGGACCUAAAGUUUACUUCUCGCUCCUUUUGAGGGUCUACACCUGCAGAACAAGGGUGAAGACGAUGGAGAAGGCAGUUGGGGACCAAAAGAGACUUGGUGGCUCCUGGGAGUCUAAAGAAAAGAACUCUUAGACAGACGGCCAUGAGUGGGCCUCAGAAGCACCCAGUCCAGAUUGGAACUGGAAGUCAUUGGCUCUAAGAAUAAUAUCUUCAGGACAGAGACUGGAAUGGAUUCAGACAGAAUGAACAGGAAGCUGGAAGACACCAGGGUUAUGGGAAGAUGGGCUGUGUUUGUCUUCUCAGUAGGAAAAAGAAGGCAGUAGAAAAACUCCACAAAAAAUAAAGAUGAUCACAAGCAUGUUGCAUUUCAAAUACGAAGCACAGUGAGGGACCACCUGCUUUUGAACAACUGGGAGAGGGCUGGAGAGGAGAGGCUGCUCCGUGACCUUUGCUGGGAACUUGUUCCUUUGGGGAACGCUUGGCUCCUGACACUGGAACCAUACAGGAAGAAAUAUAAUUCUGGCACAUUUCUUGGGUCUGCGGGGAGCAAUAUUUAUAUAGUCAUAAUAAUGUUCUCUUUUUUAGAUGGUUACAUAGUACUUUAUUGUGUUAAUUUAUUGACUUAACUCCUCCUGGUACUGGACAUUCUAUUUAUACCCGGUUGACUUUUCUGUAAAUAACGGUAGAAUCUGACGUCAGUUUGAUCCAUGAAGCCUCUUUUGUUGGCAGAGUUGGCGAACUGAAUUGUUAGACUGGUAAUGUGUAAUUCUUUAUUGGGGGGGGUGCCCCCCAAGUGCAAGAAUGUGGCUGAAUUCUGAAGGGAGGUGGUGAAUGGCUCAUCUAGACUAUCUCCCUUGCUGUGCUGGGCAUUAGCCCAGCAGGCCAGCUUGCUCUUGGUCCUGCCCGAUCCUGUAUGGAUGAGCAGCCUGGUGCCGCGUCCCUGAGCAGAGGCCUGUGGGCAGAGGGAGUGUGUGGGUGGGGCGGGCAUGCUGACUUACAGGUCUGGUACAAAUGGGAGAAAGCUGAGCUUGUUUACGUGCCAAGAGUGAGGAUCCAGAAACUGAGAGAGGCUAUUGUUGUAAUUGAGGUUGGUGUUUCCUAUUCUUUUAAAUGUCAUGGACACAUGGAAAAUAUUUAUACAGCACAUGAGUAAAUGGAUGAGACUGCCCAUGGUCAGAAGUGACCCGUCAGGGCAUUCCAGUUGCCCCAGGCUCUGCUUUGCACCCAGAGGGUUAAAGAGAUCCCCUUGUCAACAGGCAACUUGCUCCCAGCCCAAUGACAUCUUUGUACAAAUGAGAAAAAGCCACUUCUUUCUCAAGACACCUUCCGGAUGUCCGCUGCCUGCCAGAUAUUAUUUGACAGAAUAGGUAUGCAAAUCUUUCAUGAGCACACUGUGAUGGAUGCCCUCAGAGUUCUGUGCUGCACAGCCAUUCGCAGGACCCUGGCUCAGCACACCUGUGGCCCGUUUGAGGAUGCUGCCAGGAAGGAGGCUGAGGGAGAGGACAGAGACGAGAGACAUUCCUGCCGUAUGCUGGCAUGAGACGCUCAGGUUUCUGCUGGUGACAGACCCAAUGGUGGGAGUCGCUGGAAUAGGGCUGCAGGGAGAGCAGUGCUAUGGAGGAUAGGUGUGGGCACCGAGUUCAGGAGAGAUGCCUGGGCUGGAGUGUCAUUUGGGCAUCAUCACAUAGAGAUGGUUCUUGAAGCUGUGGAAGUGAGUGUGUAGAAAAACUCCGUGGAAAAGAACUCUGGAGCCAGCCCCUGUGGGCCACCCAAUUCCCCCACUGAGGUGGGGCCUGAUACUCAAGCAAGAACGUAGAAAUGAGGUCCCAGUGUGAGGGGACUCUCUGCACCAUGGUGUCCUGUCCCAUGGCUUAUGGACACUGUCCCAACAAGUUCAUGUUGCCUGAGAGGAUCUGUGCCAGAGAUGUCUGGCUGCCGUACCUGAGCCUGACAGCACUGCGGCCUGAGUGUCUGCCCCUAGGUGCUGCCUUUCUGUGCCCAGUACUCACCCAGGGUCACUGCUGGUGAGUGCUGUUGGGGAGGGGCUGUGUCUCCUUCAUCCCUCUGUCCUUAGGGCCAAGUGUUGGAUUUUUGAAGGGCUCUUAGGAGUGUGGAUGGAGGUUGGGACUUGGAUGUGUGAGUGGACACAUGAGCCCUGCCUGCUCUCUGCCCGGGUUUCCUUUGUGACAUUCGCUGCCCAGAUGUUCCCCGUGAUCCCACUCUUAGCUGCUCCACAAAGCGUAUCGUCCAGCCAGGCCCAGGCUGGCCCGGUCCUGCAGAGCUCUGGCCUCAGCACCUGUCCCCGGGACACUGCCAGGGACCCAAGGAGGCCUGCAUUGGGGCCCCACACCUGUGCUUUUGGACCAGAUGAGCUGGUUACACUUUUGCCCUUCACAUUGUGGGAAAUAAUAGAAAGGAGUUUUGCCGUGCUGGGCUCAUGAGAUAUAAUUUCCACAUUACGUCAAAGACAAUAAUUGUUUAGCAGAUAUUUUGGACCUAGUGUGUGCAUGGGACUGCAGCAAAUAAAGGGCUAGUGGGAGAUGCCCUAUUUCUGCCUGUCAGCGUAAACUGCUUGUGCCUCUAGAACAAUGGAUUUAUUUUUAUUUACUAAGUUUCCUUCCCUUAAGACAUAUGGUGCUUUGACUUCAUCAUGUUAAAUUUUGAACACGUCAUGUCUCCCUUAUGUGUGCGCUGGGACUUGUUGCUGUCCCCACCAGGCAGACCCUCCCUGGCUGUGCCCUCCUGCGUGUCUCGAUGUCAUGUGCCAUGUUGUUGGGUGCAGAGGAAAUGGCUGUUCCAGCUGUUCCCACCCAGGGGCCUAGGCAAGCAGGGACAGCUGCCCAGGCUAUUCGUUAUUUCCUCCAAGACAGAGGGCAGUUGUUUUGCUCCCAGGCUGCUUGAGCUGGUAACUAAGGCACCUUCGUCUUUGGCUGGAAUCCUAUCAAUUCUUGAGGCCACCUUGGUGAAAUUCUGCUGAUUAGAAAGCUGUUUGGCAGUUAUAUGUGACUUUGAUCAAUAAAGAAAUGAGAAAAAUUAUUUUUCCAUAAA
Long non-coding RNA from Equus quagga, 6789 nucleotides. RefSeq lists it as uncharacterized. The record is from RefSeq and is a predicted model, not a curated record. The transcript has 3 exons. NCBI's taxonomy places the organism in Eukaryota, Metazoa, Chordata, Mammalia, Perissodactyla, Equidae.